Molecule: ribosomal RNA, 465 nt
Filed under: uncultured bacterium
Lineage: Bacteria
Description: partial 16S ribosomal RNA
Rfam family: Bacterial small subunit ribosomal RNA
Source: RNAcentral
CCUACGGGAGGCUGCAGUGGGGAAUAUUGCGCAAUGGGCGAAAGCCUGACGCAGCGACGCCGCGUGCGGGAUGAAGGUCUUCGGAUCGUAAACCUCUGUCAGCAGGGAAGAACGGUCACUGUGCUAAUCAGCAGUGAAUUGACGGUACCUGCAAAGGAAGCACCGGCUAACUCCGUGCCAGCAGCCGCGGUAAUACGGAGGGUGCGAGCGUUAAUCGGAAUUACUGGGCGUAAAGCGCUCGUAGGUGGUAUGUCAAGUCAAGGGUGAAAUCACGGCGCUCAACGUGGGAACUGCCUUUGAAACUGGCAACCUGGAGUGUGUGAGAGGAUAGUGGAAUUCCAGGUGUAGGAGUGAAAUCCGUAGAUAUCUGGAGGAACAUCAGUGGCGAAGGCGACUAUCUGGAACAUAACUGACGCUGAGGAGCGAAAGCGUGGGUAGCAAACAGGAUUAGAUACCCGGGUAGUC